This 85-nucleotide transfer RNA is filed under the name Felis catus (domestic cat). It matches the Rfam family "tRNA". Rfam says of the family: Transfer RNA (tRNA) molecules are approximately 80 nucleotides in length. Their secondary structure includes four short double-helical elements and three loops (D, anti-codon, and T loops). Further hydrogen bonds mediate the characteristic L-shaped molecular structure. tRNAs have two regions of fundamental functional importance: the anti-codon, which is responsible for specific mRNA codon recognition, and the 3' end, to which the tRNAs corresponding amino acid is attached (by aminoacyl-tRNA synthetases). tRNAs cope with the degeneracy of the genetic code in two manners: having more than one tRNA (with a specific anti-codon) for a particular amino acid; and 'wobble' base-pairing, i.e. permitting non-standard base-pairing at the 3rd anti-codon position. Lineage: Eukaryota; Metazoa; Chordata; Mammalia; Carnivora; Felidae. The record is from Rfam by way of RNAcentral.
ACCUGGGUGGCUCAGUCGGUUGAGCAUCUGACUUUGGCUCAGGUCAUGAUGUCUCAGUCUGUGAGUUCGAGCCCCACGUCGGGCU